GCCCUCACCUCGGGGUGCCCGUGUCUGACACGGCUGAGAUGCACACUGCGAACCCGUUGAACCUGAACCGGCUAACACCGGCGGAGGGAAGGUAUCAGCACUUUAC
RNAcentral lists this non-coding RNA (106 nucleotides) under Celeribacter halophilus. Its description in RNAcentral is "TPP sequence". It matches the Rfam family "TPP riboswitch aptamer (THI element)". Rfam says of the family: Vitamin B(1) in its active form thiamin pyrophosphate (TPP) is an essential coenzyme that is synthesised by coupling of pyrimidine and thiazole moieties in bacteria. The previously detected thiamin-regulatory element, thi box was extended, resulting in a new, highly conserved RNA secondary structure, the THI element, which is widely distributed in eubacteria and also occurs in some archaea. Lineage: Bacteria; Pseudomonadati; Pseudomonadota; Alphaproteobacteria; Rhodobacterales; Roseobacteraceae. The record is from Rfam by way of RNAcentral.